Molecule: long non-coding RNA, 3034 nt
Organism: Rosa chinensis
Lineage: Eukaryota; Viridiplantae; Streptophyta; Magnoliopsida; Rosales; Rosaceae
Exons: 16
Source: RefSeq, a predicted model, not a curated record
AAAUUUACAACUCCUAUAGCAGAGAAAAAAUUUCAAUGAAAGUUAGAACAAGGAAAUAGAUGAUUUCCAACAAGAGUUUUAAACUUUACAUAUAGCAUACCUCAUCAGCAUCAAAGCUUCAUUGCAACAACUGACAGUGAAGUGUUGCCAUUUCUCCUUCAAGUUUCUCCUUCUGAUGUGCCGCAUCUUUCAGCAUCUUACGAACCUUUAAUAUCUCUGAAUUUCCAGCUGCCUACCGCAUCAAAAGAAUUUCUCUAUGUAACAUCCGCAAGAUUUCAAAGAUAGGUUCAAUGAUAUGAUAUCAGAAUUAUUAAACUGGUGAUAAAAUGCACCUCUAACCUCUUCAAUAGAGUCAGUUGACUCUAAAGAUUACUGGCUUCCUCUUCAGCAGCCUUCCUAAGACUUGUCUCUCCCUGGAGCAACUUUCUUAAGUUAUCAAUUUCCUCAACAUGCUACCUGCAAAUCUAUGUAUAAUAAACUUGUUAGGAAUACUCCUCAACACGACAUAUAAGCAUCAAGAUUAGACAAAGCGAAAGAAGAGAGAAUAAAGGAAAGAGGGAUAGAAGAGAGGAAAGGAGAAGAUCUUGGCGAGAAUAGACCGGUUGCAAGGGGUUUGUUUGUGUUGGAGUCUGAUAUCUUGGUGAUCGAUUGGAUUGAUUUGAGAGCUCGAUCAAUUAAGGGAAAUGAGAGAUCUGGGUAGGGAAGACUAUAGAGAUUGUAGCAGGUUAUGCCGGGUGCAACGUAUGUAUCUGAAAUUUUCUGUUUCUUGGUUUCUGCAUUUUGGUGAUGUCAACAGAGUGUGGAAAAAAGAGCAAAUUUUUAGGAGGCGAUAAUAGAGACAGUCAAAAGAGAGGACAAAGAAUGCUUAAUGAUCAGAAUCUGACUAUUCCUAACAUGACCAUGGAUUGUAGAAGAAAAUCAAAAAGGUGGAGAGAAGCAUCUGAGACAUUGAUCAUCAAAGACAAUCAUAUUUUUGACAGCAAUGAUCAAAAUGGUUUCAAUGAGAGUUUCAAAUAGGAUUGCGCCUUGCAAAAGCCUCGGAGCUUUCCUGAUCGCUGCUGACCUUCAGUCAGGUUGUUUAAAGUCAAUGGAAAAAACAUGACUGAAGAUACGUUGGGCGAUUAUAUAGGGUAGAACUCAAUUCCAUUUCUAAAUGUCAAAGUUGGUUGACAUUGGGAGUUAUAUAGGAUUGCAAACGAAAUAGUGUAAAUAUAUAUAGGAUUGCCCUAUAUGAUUGAUAUUGGGAAAUUAUAUAGGAUUGCAAAUGAAUCCUACCCAAAAAGAAUUCAGCUUCCGAAUCGCAACUGGCAACUGGCCUAAUACUUAGACAGCAGAAAAGGCAGAGGAAAAGAGGCGCUCCCCUCAAAUAUAGAGGUUGGACCGAUUGGUUGGGCUGAUUGGGGAAAAAGGUGCAGUUGUAGUCGCUAAAAAGUCAGGCAAUUUUUUCAAUUUCGUCAUUCCCUUGCAGCCGGUCUGACGUUCCGCUCCACACACCGUUUCGCAUUUGAAAUUGGAUUGCUUGCUUGAAGUUGAGUAACUUGAGCUUCAGAUUCUAGGAACAGUUUGCAGCCACAUUCUUCAGUUGUCUUGCAUUCAGUUGUGGUUGUGGGUGCAGCUGCUGUUCUGUGUAUUGCCAGAUUAAAGAUGGAUAAUUUUUCGAUUAUACAUGGAUAUGAUGGAUGUUCGUUUCAAAAGCAUUACAUUAACCAGGAUUCGGGGGAUAGCUUUGUCUUAUCAAGCGCUCACAAGUAUAGAUUACAGUGCUAUUAUAUUGAACCACGUAUUGUGCUGCUUGGCAUAUAAAUUAUGGAUUCUGUUUGUUCUUAUUGUAUUUCCUGUGCUGGAGUUUAAAUAUCUAGCUAAUGAUAGGUCAAUUCACAGAUUGGUAUUGAUCAUUCUGGAACAUAAAACAUUCCUCAAAGCCUUGAGACAUCUCAGGAGACUUUUGCUGUCCCCAAGAGCCUUCAGAAGUUGUAUCAGGCUUUUGCUGCCCCCAUCUGCCUUCAGAAAUAUCAAGAGAAUUUUGCCGGCCCCAAGUGCCCGGAGAAGAAGCAUUAGCAGGCUUUUUCUCCCCCCAAGCACCUUUAGACAACUUGGCCUGUCCCCAAGUUCCCUCAGAAAAACCAUCAGCAGGCUUUUGCUGCCCCCAAGUACCUUCUGAAGUAGUAUCCGCAUUUUGCUGCCCCCAAGCACCUUUAGAAAUCUCAGGAGACUUUUGCCAUCCCCAACUGCCCUGAGAAGUAUUGGCAGGGUUUUCCUCCCCCCGAGCACCUUUAGAAAUCUCAGGGGACUUUUGUUGUCCCCAAGUUCCCUGAGAAGAAGCAUCAAGCGCCUUCUGAAGUAGUAUCGACAUUCAUUUUGCUGACCCCAAGAAUGACGGGCAGUAGACUUAUCUUCAGUUUAAAUAUCUAAACUGUUAUGUAAAGCAUAUUCAAACUGUAUUUCUGCAAUCUUCGAUCUUCAGCCGAACUGUUGGCUUCAAAGUUGGCUGAGAAGGGAAAUCCAAGCUCUUACGCAGAAAUGUGUAAGCCAUGCAUUACCAAUAUGAUGGAGUUCAAUUCUAUUAAAGUACCUGAAUGACGUCAACAGAGAUUUGGCUAAGCUUUUGCAACAAAGUGGAUUACAGCUCACUGUAUGCUACAUACCUGCAGUAGACAUUCCAGAAUGAAUCAAAGCUGAUGAAAGUCUCUUCUACACUAAAUUAACAAGCACAAAUUCCAAAAGCAAAAGCGAAAAACUUAUUCAGCUGAUUUCAUUGUGAUAAUUCUAAGUCACCUAUGAUGACCUGGAAAUUGAACUAAGAGGCUGGCAGAAGCAGAAAUUCCAGAAAAAAUUCAACUAGUUUACAAGUUCAAGCAAAGUUCAAUUACCAGUCCUGUUUAUCUGCCCUCAAAAUUGUAUUGUCUCCAAGAACUAUAUUCAGUUGGCAGUCCUGUUCAUUAUACGGGCAUUUGCUCUUUCACUUUUAGUUUCAGUUUCAGUUUCAUGUCAACUAUAUUCAGUUUCAGUUGGUAGUCCUGUUCAUUACACACAA